This 694-nucleotide ribosomal RNA is filed under the name Heyndrickxia acidicola. RNAcentral describes it as "bacterial SSU rRNA". It matches the Rfam family "Bacterial small subunit ribosomal RNA", at positions 75 to 754 of the family's 1533-position model. The record is from RNAcentral. Lineage: Bacteria; Bacillati; Bacillota; Bacilli; Caryophanales; Bacillaceae.
GGAGCUUGCUCCCGGAUGUUAGCGGCGGACGGGUGAGUAACACGUGGGUAACCUGCCUGUAAGACUGGGAUAACUCCGGGAAACCGGAGCUAAUACCGGAUAGUUCCUUGAACCGCAUGGUUCAAGGAUGAAAGACGGUUUCGGCUGUCACUUACAGAUGGACCCGCGGCGCAUUAGCUAGUUGGUGGGGUAAUGGCUCACCAAGGCGACGAUGCGUAGCCGACCUGAGAGGGUGAUCGGCCACACUGGGACUGAGACACGGCCCAGACUCCUACGGGAGGCAGCAGUAGGGAAUCUUCCGCAAUGGACGAAAGUCUGACGGAGCAACGCCGCGUGAGUGAUGAAGGUUUUCGGAUCGUAAAGCUCUGUUGUUAGGGAAGAACAAGUGCGAGAGUAACUGCUCGCACCUUGACGGUACCUAACCAGAAAGCCACGGCUAACUACGUGCCAGCAGCCGCGGUAAUACGUAGGUGGCAAGCGUUGUCCGGAAUUAUUGGGCGUAAAGGGCUCGCAGGCGGUUUCUUAAGUCUGAUGUGAAAGCCCCCGGCUCAACCGGGGAGGGUCAUUGGAAACUGGGAAACUUGAGUGCAGAAGAGGAGAGUGGAAUUCCACGUGUAGCGGUGAAAUGCGUAGAGAUGUGGAGGAACACCAGUGGCGAAGGCGACUCUCUGGUCUGUAACUGACGCUGAGGAGC